UGCAGUCGAGGGGUAUAGGAGAGCUUGCUUUCCUAGAGACCGGCGCACGGGUGCGUAACGCGUAUGCAACCUACCUUAAUCAGGGGGAUAGCCCGAAGAAAUUCGGAUUAACACCGCAUAAAAACACAGGAUAGCAUUAUCCAAUGUUCAAAUAUUUAUAGGAUUAAGAUGGGCAUGCGUGUCAUUAGCUAGUUGGCGGGGUAAUGGCCCACCAAGGCGACGAUGACUAGGGGAUCUGAGAGGAUGACCCCCCACACUGGUACUGAGACACGGACCAGACUCCUACGGGAGGCAGCAGUAAGGAAUAUUGGUCAAUGGAGGCAACUCUGAACCAGCCAUGCCGCGUGCAGGAUGACUGCCCUAUGGGUUGUAAACUGCUUUUAUCCGGGAAUAAACCUGAUUACGAGUAAUCAGCUGAAUGUACCGGAAGAAUAAGGAUCGGCUAACUCCGUGCCAGCAGCCGCGGUAAUACGGAGGAUCCAAGCGUUAUCCGGAUUUAUUGGGUUUAAAGGGUGCGUAGGCGGCCUGUUAAGUCAGGGGUGAAAGACGGUAGCUCAACUAUCGCAGUGCCUUUGAUACUGAUGGGCUUGAAUGAACUAGAGGUAGGCGGAAUGAGACAAGUAGCGGUGAAAUGCAUAGAUAUGUCUCAGAACACCGAUUGCGAAGGCAGCUUACUAUGGUUUUAUUGACGCUGAUGCACGAAAGCGUGGGGAUCAAACAGGAUUAGAUACCCUGGUAGUCCACGCCCUAAACGAUGAACACUCGCUGUUGGCGAUACACAGUCAGCGGCUAAGCGAAAGCGUUAAGUGUUCCACCUGGGGAGUACGCUCGCAAGAGUGAAACUCAAAGGAAUUGACGGGGGCCCGCACAAGCGGAGGAGCAUGUGGUUUAAUUCGAUGAUACGCGAGGAACCUUACCCGGGCUUGAAAGUUAGUGAAUAUAGAGU
RNAcentral lists this ribosomal RNA (946 nucleotides) under Pedobacter sp. RSB7.2. RNAcentral's name for it is "bacterial SSU rRNA". It matches the Rfam family "Bacterial small subunit ribosomal RNA", at positions 56 to 1003 of the family's 1533-position model. Lineage: Bacteria; Pseudomonadati; Bacteroidota; Sphingobacteriia; Sphingobacteriales; Sphingobacteriaceae. The record is from RNAcentral.